This 253-nucleotide ribosomal RNA is filed under the name uncultured bacterium. RNAcentral describes it as "partial 16S ribosomal RNA". It matches the Rfam family "Bacterial small subunit ribosomal RNA", at positions 524 to 776 of the family's 1533-position model. The record is from RNAcentral.
UACAGAGGGUGCAAGCGUUGCUCGGAAUUAUUGGGCGUAAAGGGUAGGUAGGUGGUCUCAUUUGUCUAGGGUGAAAUCCUUGGGCUUAACUCAAGAAGUGCCCUAGAAACGGUGAGACUGGAGUCCUGGAGAGGGUCGUGGAAUUCCCGGUGUAGCGGUGAAAUGCGUAGAUAUCGAGAGGAACACCGGUGGCGAAGGCGAGUCCCUGGAAAACACCUGACACUGAGGCACGAAAGCUAGGGGAGCAAACAGG